UACGUAGGGUGCAAGCGUUAAUCGGAAUUACUGGGCGUAAAGCGUGCGCAGGCGGCUUUGCAAGACAGAUGUGAAAUCCCCGGGCUUAACCUGGGAACUGCAUUUGUGACUGCAUGGCUGGAGUGCCGCAGAGGGGGAUGGAAUUCCGCGUGUAGCAGUGAAAUGCGUAGAUAUGCGGAGGAACACCGAUGGCGAAGGCAAUCCCCUGGGCCUGCACUGACGCUCAUGCACGAAAGCGUGGGGAGCAAACAGG
RNAcentral lists this ribosomal RNA (253 nucleotides) under uncultured bacterium. RNAcentral's name for it is "partial 16S ribosomal RNA". It matches the Rfam family "Bacterial small subunit ribosomal RNA", at positions 524 to 776 of the family's 1533-position model. The record is from RNAcentral.